This 800-nucleotide ribosomal RNA is filed under the name Acinetobacter sp. P4C7. Its description in RNAcentral is "bacterial SSU rRNA". It matches the Rfam family "Bacterial small subunit ribosomal RNA", at positions 56 to 850 of the family's 1533-position model. Lineage: Bacteria; Pseudomonadati; Pseudomonadota; Gammaproteobacteria; Moraxellales; Moraxellaceae. The record is from RNAcentral.
UGCAAGUCGAGCGGAGAUGAGGUGCUUGCACCUUAUCUUAGCGGCGGACGGGUGAGUAAUGCUUAGGAAUCUGCCUAUUAGUGGGGGACAACAUUUCGAAAGGAAUGCUAAUACCGCAUACGCCCUACGGGGGAAAGCAGGGGAUCUUCGGACCUUGCGCUAAUAGAUGAGCCUAAGUCGGAUUAGCUAGUUGGUGGGGUAAAGGCCUACCAAGGCGACGAUCUGUAGCGGGUCUGAGAGGAUGAUCCGCCACACUGGGACUGAGACACGGCCCAGACUCCUACGGGAGGCAGCAGUGGGGAAUAUUGGACAAUGGGGGGAACCCUGAUCCAGCCAUGCCGCGUGUGUGAAGAAGGCCUUUUGGUUGUAAAGCACUUUAAGCGAGGAGGAGGAGCUCUAGAUUAAUACUCUAGAUGCUUGGACGUUACUCGCAGAAUAAGCACCGGCUAACUCUGUGCCAGCAGCCGCGGUAAUACAGAGGGUGCAAGCGUUAAUCGGAUUUACUGGGCGUAAAGCGUGCGUAGGUGGUCUUUUAAGUCGGAUGUGAAAUCCCUGAGCUUAACUUAGGAAUUGCAUUCGAUACUGGGAGACUAGAGUAUGGGAGAGGAUGGUAGAAUUCCAGGUGUAGCGGUGAAAUGCGUAGAGAUCUGGAGGAAUACCGAUGGCGAAGGCAGCCAUCUGGCCUAAUACUGACACUGAGGUACGAAAGCAUGGGGAGCAAACAGGAUUAGAUACCCUGGUAGUCCAUGCCGUAAACGAUGUCUACUAGCCGUUGGGGUCUUUGAGACUUUAGUGGCGCA